GUGAGUCAUUGCAGUAAUGCAAGGCAGACGGCUCAGUAACACGUAGUCAACCUACCCUAUAGACGGGGAUAACCUCAGGAAACUGAGGAUAAACCCCGAUAGAUCAUUAUGCCUGGAACGGUUUAUGGUCCAAAUGAUUCGUCGCUAUAGGAUGGGACUGCGGCCUAUCAGCUUGUUGGUGAGGUAAUGGCCCACCAAGACUAUUACAGGUACGGGCUCUGAGAGGAGUAGCCCGGAGAUGGGUACUGAGACACGGACCCAGGCCCUAUGGGGCGCAGCAGGCGAGAAAACUUUGCAAUGUGCGAAAGCACGACAAGGUUAAUCCGAGUGAUUCCUGCUAAAGGAAUCUUUUGUUAGUCAUAAUACCACUAACGAAUAAGGGGUGGGCAAGUUCUGGUGUCAGCCGCCGCGGUAAAACCAGCACCUCAAGUGGUCAGGAUGAUUAUUGGGCCUAAAGCAUCCGUAGCCGGCUUUGUUAGUUUUCGGUUAAAUCCAUAUGCUCAACAUAUGGGCUGCCGGGAAUACUGCAAAGCUAGGGAGUGGGAGAGGUAGACGGUACUCCGUAGGAAGGGGUAAAAUCCUUUGAUCUAUGGAUGACCACCUGUGGCGAAGGCGGUCUACCAGAACACGUCCGACGGUGAGGGAUGAAAGCUGGGGGAGCAAACCGGAUUAGAUACCCGGGUAGUCCCAGCUGUAAACUAUGCAAACUCAGUGAUGCAUUGGCUUGUGGCCAGUGCAGUGCCGCAGG
This 748-nucleotide ribosomal RNA is filed under the name uncultured archaeon. Its description in RNAcentral is "bacterial SSU rRNA". It matches the Rfam family "Archaeal small subunit ribosomal RNA", at positions 53 to 807 of the family's 1478-position model. The record is from RNAcentral.